Molecule: ribosomal RNA, 291 nt
Filed under: Triticum aestivum (bread wheat)
Lineage: Eukaryota; Viridiplantae; Streptophyta; Magnoliopsida; Poales; Poaceae
Description: partial small subunit ribosomal RNA
Source: RNAcentral
AUGGAGAAGAUGAGCUCGUCGGUGCAGUCCUGGGUGGACCAGCACAAGCUCGCCACCGUCGGGGCGAUGUGGACGACGGCGGUUGGCGCCUCGGUGGCGUGCGGCCGGCGGCGGGGCAAGGCGGCGGGGUUCACGGUCGCUGCCGCGCUCGGCGGAGCGGCGCUGGCGCACCACUACUACGCCGCGAAACGGAGGGAGGAGGAGGCGAGGUGCUUCGAGCUGGACUUCUACUCGCAGCUGCCGGCGGCCACCGGCGAAGACGGCCAGGAGAACGAGCGGUGGACCUACUAG